CGCGUGAGAAUCUAGCUUCAGGUUGGGGACAACAGUUGGAAACGACUGCUAAUACCGAAUGUGCCGAAAGGUGAAAGAUUUAUUGCCUGAAGAAGAGCUCGCGUCUGAUUAGCUAGUUGGUGGGGUAAGAGCUUACCAAGGCGACGAUCGGUAGCUGGUCUGAGAGGACGAUCAGCCACACUGGGACUGAGACACGGCCCAGACUCCUACGGGAGGCAGCAGUGGGGAAUUUUCCGCAAUGGGCGAAAGCCUGACGGAGCAAUACCGCGUGAGGGAAGAAGGCUCUUGGGUUGUAAACCU
Molecule: ribosomal RNA, 300 nt
Filed under: uncultured Oscillatoriophycideae cyanobacterium
Lineage: Bacteria; Bacillati; Cyanobacteriota; Cyanophyceae
Description: bacterial SSU rRNA
Rfam family: Bacterial small subunit ribosomal RNA
Source: RNAcentral